Molecule: ribosomal RNA, 106 nt
Filed under: Escherichia coli
Lineage: Bacteria; Pseudomonadati; Pseudomonadota; Gammaproteobacteria; Enterobacterales; Enterobacteriaceae
Description: partial 16S ribosomal RNA
Rfam family: Bacterial small subunit ribosomal RNA (bases 18-106)
Source: RNAcentral
UUGAGCAUCAAACUUUUAAAUUGAAGAGUUUGAUCAUGGCUCAGAUUGAACGCUGGCGGCAGGCCUAACACAUGCAAGUCGAACGGUAACAGGAAGCAGCUUGCUG